Non-coding RNA from Lolium perenne, 287 nucleotides. The record is from RefSeq and is a predicted model, not a curated record. Lineage: Eukaryota; Viridiplantae; Streptophyta; Magnoliopsida; Poales; Poaceae.
CCUGCCCCUCAGUUGGGCAGUUCGUCGACUCUGCUCUUAGAUGAUCCAAUGAUCAAAGAGCUUCUUCGGAUCGGGUCCCAAUUUGUUGGGUACCGUGAAUAUGCCGCCAGAGCCGAAGAAAAACUUUCAGAGGCUAACGAACGCGCCGACGCACUGGCUCAAAAACUUGAGCAAAGUGAGGCGGCUCGCAAGAAAGCCGAACUCGCUGCUAGCAAAGCCAAGGUCGAAGCCGAUGAAGCUAAGGCGAAAGCUGCUGGUGUCGAGGAACUGCAGAAGAAACUUGAGGA